This is a long non-coding RNA of Melanotaenia boesemani (Boeseman's rainbowfish), 1055 nucleotides long. RefSeq lists it as uncharacterized. NCBI's taxonomy places the organism in Eukaryota, Metazoa, Chordata, Actinopteri, Atheriniformes, Melanotaeniidae. The transcript is spliced from 3 exons. The record is from RefSeq and is a predicted model, not a curated record.
GUAAGCAGAUGCCCAGGGACGGGCAUACUGUCAAGAGGGGAGGGUGUAACCCAUACAAGUUUUAUGUCUAAUAAAUAGUUCAGUUAAAUUUGGAAGAUGCAUCAAGGGAAUAAAUAAAUUAGUUUUAUUGUAAAUACAUUAAAAAUAAAUUACUCGUAAUUUUAAGGCGAGUAGCUCCCCCCAUCCAUUUCCUGUUCCGGUUCGCGAAGCGCUCGUAGAUUUUCAGCUGCGUAUGAGAAACCAUCACGUUGCAACAACGUUGAGAAAGAAAGAAGUUUUCCAUCGGAUGGAAAAGUGCCCAAAAACUUUGUGCUUGAGCUCGGAUAAAGUCCUCCAACCUUUCAGUGCUGCCGAGUGAUCGCCGAUUUCGAAAGUGGCGAAAAGUGAGUUUAAUCAGCUUCAUAGCUGUAAAGUUGUUAGCCCGCGUGCUACUGUUAGCUUUAGCAUCAUGUUGCUAACACGUAGCAGCUACGUCGCCGGGAAGCGCGGUGUUUGAGUCAACUCUUACUUCGUCUGAAAGAGUCUGGCGAUUAGCUUGGGUGCAGCUGUGCUGAGUGUCUGAGCUCAAGUGAUUUGGAGAUUGGUCAGGUUUUUUUUUCCCCCUUCUUUUGUGUACCCCCCUCGACCUCAUUGGUAUAUUCCGGAGCGGAUAUUCUGAUAGUCAUGAUGGCGAGCCUCCCACCUGGAUCAGAUGGAAAGGACUACACCUCUUCUGUGAUCACUGGAUUUUGCUUUGUGUGACCUACAGUGCGGUAGGCCAGAACUAAGAACACUGUCACUCAUCUGUGAGCACCAGCCCUAGCAACUAUUUAUUUUAUUGUGAAAGUUUUUGACCGACUUAGACUGACUUGGACUAGUUUUUUCUCUGACCUAUUUUAUUUAAUUUGCUACUCUUGGGUUGGUGUGGGACAGAAAGGAAACCCUCCUUUAAGACAUCUGAUAGUGAACUGAACUGCGAAUCCUACUCAUCAGCCUGAGUUGUUUGUGAACACUGAGAACAGGCAGUGAAAGAGAUUUUUUUGUGAACAGUUGGCCAAAGAACAAACAAAGAACAA